GGGCCCGCACAAGCGGUGGAGCAUGUGGUUUAAUUCGAUGAUACGCGAGGAACCUUACCAGGGCUUAAAUGUAGUGGGACAGGUCUAGAGAUAGACCCUUCUUCGGACUCAUUACAAGGUGCUGCAUGGUUGUCGUCAGCUCGUGCCGUGAGGUGUCAGGUUAAGUCCUAUAACGAGCGCAACCCCUAUCGUUAGUUGCCAGCGGGUAAUGCCGGGAACUCUAGCGAAACUGCCGGUGCAAACCGAGAGGAAGGUGGGGAUGACGUCAAAUCAUCACGGCCCUUACGUCCUGGGCUACACACGUGCUACAAUGGCCGGUACAGAGAGCAGCCACUACGCGAGUAGGAGCUAACUUUAAAAACCGAUCUCAGUUCGGAUCGCAGUCUGCAACUCGACUGCGUGAAGCUGGAAUC
RNAcentral lists this ribosomal RNA (413 nucleotides) under uncultured bacterium. Its description in RNAcentral is "bacterial SSU rRNA". It matches the Rfam family "Bacterial small subunit ribosomal RNA", at positions 917 to 1333 of the family's 1533-position model. The record is from RNAcentral.